UUUCCUUUUCUUGACAGGGAAAGGGUGAGCGGUCCUCCUCCCUGCUGUGUACAGAGGCACAGGGAAAGGGGCUCCAGUGUCAUGCCUUCAGUGCUAGCAGGUUCCUCAAACAAAGGGACACAG
This is a small nucleolar RNA of Tupaia belangeri (northern tree shrew), 123 nucleotides long. The record is from Ensembl. Lineage: Eukaryota; Metazoa; Chordata; Mammalia; Scandentia; Tupaiidae.